RNAcentral lists this long non-coding RNA (1197 nucleotides) under Mus musculus (house mouse). RNAcentral's name for it is "long non-coding RNA chr5:141593881-141595078". The record is from RNAcentral. Lineage: Eukaryota; Metazoa; Chordata; Mammalia; Rodentia; Muridae.
AUCAGAUAUCAAACAUGUUUUCAAGAGGUAAAACAACACCAAGAACACCCCAGGACAAAGACUUCUCUCAUGUCUGGUCUCACUAAUCCUGUCUGUCAUGCUGGGCUAAGAGCAAGUAAUAGGGUCAAACCUACACACUUGUAGUGAAAUUGUUUUUAAGAUGCCAGGUAUUAGACAGUGAAAGAUGGGGAUCCCUAAGAGGUAGGCUACAAACAAGGGGAGCCAUGUAACUGCCCACAGUGUCUGCCUUCAUAGAAUUUCCAAGCAAAGGCAUACAAAAUUGAGAACCCAGGUGGUGUCUCUUCACUAAGCUAGAUCUCAGGGCAGGGCAGGGCAGGAGGCAGAUAGAAACUCUAGAUUUCUCAAGAGCAGAGGAUGCAAAGGAAUGUGUGGAGAAAUAUUUCUGGAGACUGCAUAGGCUCCUUUGAGCUUUAGCAGGGUCAGAGCACACUGGCAUGAAGCAGCUACUCAAGACCAGGUACAGAGUUACCAGGGUGACAGCUAGUGGCUCCCUGUGUCACACAGGAGGGAGUAUACUAUCAUCAGCACAAAUUCAUCAGUCUUAAAUGAAACAUGUUCCGUCCCACCUAGCUACAGUUAAAAAGCAAUACUUUAAAAGGGUUGCGUGAGUUGCUUCGGAGUAUCUUCACAAGAGCACCACAGAGUCCAAGGACAUUUGUAAGAAUUCCCAAACAUCCAGGGAUCAACAGCUUAAACUCUGCAGUAGCUAAAAUCUAAUCAGUUUACUGAGCUUGCAAAGAGGCAGAAAGGAUGAUCUGAAGUGAGGAGGAAAAGAUUGAAGCCAAGUAAAAACUGACACAAAGCAGCAGAGGAAGACUGUAAAACCAUGACCAUGCUGUUGAUGACCAAAGUAAGACAAACGCUAAAGGUAAAACGGCAUCUGAAGAAGAUUAGGAUGCUCAGAAGUAAAUAUUAGUAAGCUCACGCAUACAUCAGUGGAAGUAUAAAAAUAAAAAGCAUAUCAAAGAAACAAUUAAGUGAGCAUUAGAGAGUAACAAGAACAAGUAUAUGGAUAACUAAAACCAAAGAAGGGGCAAGGGAAAUAGUUAACAAAACUACUGUUAGUUUUUCCUAAUUUGAAUAAGAGCCACAAAGUUACAAGGCAUCAAAUUAUAAUAGUAGACUUACUAGCCAAUUCAAUAAGGCAAGAAAAAGAAGUUAUCGGCAUUGCAAAGG